ACGGGAGGCAGCAGUGGGGAAUUUUGCGCAAUGGGGGCAACCCUGACGCGGCAACGCCGCGUGCGGGACGGAGGGCUUCGGCCCGUAAACCGCUUUCAGCAGGGAAGACUCAAGACGGUACCUGCAGAAGAAGCUCCGGCUAACUACGUGCCAGCAGCCGCGGUAAUACGUAGGGGGCGAGCGUUAUCCGGAUUCAUUGGGUGUAAAGCGCGCGUAGGCGGCCGCCUAAGCGGAGUUUCUAACCUUGGGGCUCAACCUCAAGCCGGACUCCGAACUGGGCGGCUCGAGUGCGGUAGGGGCAGGCGGAAUUCCACGAGUAGCGGUGAAAUGCGCAGAUAUGUGGAGGAACACCGAUGGCGAAGGCAGCCUGCUGGGCCGGCACUGACGCUGAGGCGCGAAAGCUGGGGGAGCGAACAGGAUUAGAUACCCUGGUA
RNAcentral lists this ribosomal RNA (434 nucleotides) under uncultured Adlercreutzia sp. Its description in RNAcentral is "partial 16S ribosomal RNA". It matches the Rfam family "Bacterial small subunit ribosomal RNA", at positions 341 to 792 of the family's 1533-position model. Lineage: Bacteria; Bacillati; Actinomycetota; Coriobacteriia; Eggerthellales; Eggerthellaceae. The record is from RNAcentral.